Molecule: long non-coding RNA, 1334 nt
Organism: Gopherus evgoodei (Goodes thornscrub tortoise)
Lineage: Eukaryota; Metazoa; Chordata; Testudines; Testudinidae
Exons: 3
Source: RefSeq, a predicted model, not a curated record
AUAUUGUGCCAAUGGUUAAUUACUCCCGUUGAGUAUGUAAACCUUAUUUCCCAUCUCAAUUUGUCUCACUUCAACUUACAGCCAUUGGAUUGUGUUGUACCUUUCUCUGCUAGAUUGAAGAGCCCAUUAUUAAGUAUGUGUUCCCCAUCUUGCUGCUUAUAGAGUAUGGUCAAGUCAUCCCUUUACCUUCUCUUUAAGCUAAAUAGAUUGAGUUCCUUGAAUCUAUCACUUUAAGGCAGUGGUUCUCAAACAUUUGUGCCCCCUUUCUCUGUGUCUGUAGCAGUUUAUGCUGCCGCUAUACAAAUGCAUGUAUCAAUUAAAAAAAAUUAACAUGAAACUCUCACUAAAUAUUAAAAACAGGCAUUGAUUCAAACAGAGCCAACAGUCCAUUGUAAUGAGAGCGAAAGCAAAACAGCUACUGAUCGAUGCUUCAAUUAAAUUUGGUUGUAGCAAAUGGAUUAACAUGCAGCUAGAUGGCAAUGAAUUUGUAUAAUGCUAUGCAACCUUAAUAGAAAUCAGUCAAAAUGAACAGCGCUGUCUAGUCAUAUACACAGUGCCACCUGAGGACAUGAUUUGUCUGAAGGAAUCAGCUUUGCUUGUUCAUUGCUGUGGAUAAAAUGUGCACAGUACGUUUCUCCCCCCCAAAAAAGCUGCUCCUGCUCUCCCCAAUACAUACUCUGUCUCACCCCCAACCCCACCCAGUUUGAGAACCUCUGCGAGUAUAAGGCAGUUUUCUAUUUCUUUUAUCAUUCCCCUGGCUCUUCUCUAAACCCUCUAAUUUAUCAACAGUCUUCUUCAAUUGUGGGCUCCAGAACAGGACAUAGUAUUUCAGCAGCGGUCGCCCAAGUCACUGCUUCCCAGGAUAAAGUCCCCCAUCUUGUAAGGUUGACCUAAAUUCUUGGUUCCUAGAUGUAUGUGUGACCAAUUGGGAGUUCUGUCUGUACCACUUUUAAAUUUUGGAUGAUUUUAUGAAAUUAUAUUAUUAAAUUACUGUGUCAUGGAAAGCCUAUAUGUAUGUUGAUCUCCUAUAAAUUAGCAGAGUUGUAACAUCUCUGCCAGGCAAGAGAGGCAAUGGUGAGUGAGCAGCAAUUAACAAUCAUUCAAAAUAAAGCUCCUUAGGACAAUACAUUUGAUCUACCUGGGAGAAGACACUGCCUCCUCUUGACUGAAGAGCAGGGGGAAAAGAGACUUGGGAAAAAUGGAAAAUUACCAAAAGGUGGAACAAAAGAACCAGGUGACCCCAGCAGGAAUCUAUAAAGGGACUCUCAGGAGUGAACUGGAGACAAACGCCAUCUUGCGCCAGACUGGGGCAGGUGGGAGGGGACAGUUGCUGU